GGGUAAACGGGGCCCAGCCCCCCGCGGGUGCGGGCUGGGGAACUAGGAGAAUGACCUCCACCCCCUGCAGAGACCCCUCCCCCCGGCGAUUUUGCUGCCAAGUCGACUCGGCUACAGACACUCAAGCCCCUUUGUGUGACUAAAUUUGGCAAGAAUAUGGAUCCGAGCCAGUGUUUCCACGUGUGCUUCCAGCUCCCAGCUGAGAAGGCCAAGGGUUCUCUUCCGGGAAAACCAGUUCGGCUAUUAAGGAAAGCUCUCAACAAGGAGGAGAGCAAGAGAAGGCAGGGUUUCAGAGAGAAUAGCUGUGCCCCGUCAAAGCGAACCGGGUUCCACACAGACAUGGGAUAG
Molecule: long non-coding RNA, 348 nt
Filed under: Ursus maritimus (polar bear)
Lineage: Eukaryota; Metazoa; Chordata; Mammalia; Carnivora; Ursidae
Description: lncRNA (ENSUMAG00000000628.1)
Source: RNAcentral